GGAGUCGUAGCUCAGUGGUUAGAGCGGCCGCCUGCAGAGCGGCAGGUCAUGAGUUCGAUUCUCGUCGGCUCCU
This is a non-coding RNA of Raphidocelis subcapitata, 73 nucleotides long. NCBI's taxonomy places the organism in Eukaryota, Viridiplantae, Chlorophyta, Chlorophyceae, Sphaeropleales, Selenastraceae. The record is from the annotation of a GenBank genome assembly.